AGAACGAACGCUGGCGGCAUGCCUAACACAUGCAAGUCGAACGCUCACCGGGCUUCGGUUCGGUGGGAGUGGCGCACGGGUGAGUAGCGCGUGGGAACCUGCCCUGUUGUGGGGGAUAACCGAGGGAAACUUCGGCUAAUACCGCAUGCGCCCGGGGAAACCCGGGAAGAUUUAUCGCAGCAGGAGGGGCCCGCGUCGGAUUAGGUAGUUGGUAGGGUAACGGCCUACCAAGCCUUUGAUCCGUAGCUGGUCUGAGAGGAUGAUCAGCCACACUGGGACUGAGACACGGCCCAGACUCCUACGGGAGGCAGCAGUGGGGAAUAUUGGACAAUGGGACGCAAGCCUGAUCCAGCAAUGCCGCGUGAGUGAUGAAGGCCUUAGGGUUGUAAAGCUCUUUCGCCCGCGACGAUGAUGACGGUAGCGGGAGAAGAAGCCCCGGCUAACUUCGUGCCAGCAGCCGC
This 461-nucleotide ribosomal RNA is filed under the name uncultured bacterium. RNAcentral's name for it is "SSU rRNA". It matches the Rfam family "Bacterial small subunit ribosomal RNA", at positions 26 to 518 of the family's 1533-position model. The record is from RNAcentral.